AUGUCUCGCACGGGGAGCCGCCUCGCGUCCUCCGUGGUGCGCCUCCCCGGCCGCUCCCGCGUCUCCGCUUCGCCCUCCCCUCGCCGCCGCUCCCUGUCCCCGUCGCCCUCCCCGCGCCGCCAGCGCCGCCGCGACCGGUCCCCCAUCCCCUCCCGCGACCGCCGCGGCGAGAGGUCCCCCGUCCCCUCUCGCGACCGCCGCCGCGACCGAUCCCCUAGCCCCUAUCGCGACCGGCGCCGCGACCGGUCCCCUAGCCCCUUCCGUGACCGCCGCCGCCAGUGGUCUCCCUACCACAAUGAGCGUGGCCGGGACAUGGACCGGGUUCGGGACGUGGAGCCGCCGGCGCGCCGUGGCGGCGGUGGAGGAGGCGAAUGGUCCGCCUCCGACGACGACGACGAGGAUCUCAAGGGCCUCACCUACUUUGAGUACCGCCGCGUCAAGCGCCAGAAGCUCCGCAAAAGCCUGAAGAAGUGCAUCUGGAAAGUCACGCCCAGCCCUCCUCGCCGUGACGACGAGGCCGACGAGUACCAGUACAGCGAGGAGGAGGAGGAGAAGAAGGAAUCGCCGAAGAAGGACUCAUCCGAGAAGAGCGAUGUGGAGGAGAACAAGGACUCGUCGGAAUCUGAGUCCGAUGAGUCUGGUAGCUUAUCUGAUUCCAGUGAAUCAGAUUAUUCUAGGAAGAAAAAGAAAGGGCGUAAGGACAGACGUUCUAGCAGCAAGCGUAGCCGACGUUCACAUCGUCGCCACAGGAAGUCUGAUGUGGAGAGUGAGAGUGAUAGCAAGGUUGAUGAGGAUUCAGAGGGUUCCUAUGACUCUGAAGAUUCUAGGGAUAAGAAGAGGAGCAAGAGAUCACGGAGGCACAAGAAGUCUAAGAGGAGGGGAAGGAGCUCUAGGAGGAAGAAGAGUAAGAGUCUGGAUGUACCAUCUGAUGUUAGCUCUGAGGAGGUGGAGGUUUUAGGCUCUAGCCCUAUCUCAACGGACAGCAAGAAAACGGGUAAGAGCUCAAGGAAGAAGAGUAGCAGUCAGUCUGAUUCUGAAGAUUCGAUCUCUUCUGAUGCCAUCAUUGAUGAAAAGGAAAUUGAAGAGACAGAUGAGCCAGAGAUUGACCCAGAGGCAAUUAAGUUCAAGGAAAUGCUUGAGGCCCAGAAGAAGGCUGCACUAGAGAAUGAGAUGCCGGUUGGACCAAUGCCACUCCCGCGUGCAGAUGGUCAUAUUAGCUAUGGUGGUGCACUGAGACCCGGUGAAGGUGAUGCCAUUGCACAAUAUGUACAGCAGGGGAAGCGUAUCCCACGGCGUGGUGAGGUUGGUCUGUCUGCAGAUGAGAUUCAGAAGUUCGAAGAUUUGGGGUAUGUGAUGAGUGGAAGCAGGCACCAGAGGAUGAAUGCUAUCCGUAUAAGGAAGGAAAACCAGGUUUAUAGUGCAGAGGAUAAGAGAGCGCUGGCCAUGUUUAACUACGAGGAGAAGUCAAAGAGAGAGCACAAAGUUAUGGCUGAUUUGCAGCGCUUGGUUUCAAGAACCAUUGGCCAAGAGACAGGACCUUCGCAUGAUCCAUUUGCUACUACAGAUGACUGA
This 1572-nucleotide ribosomal RNA is filed under the name Triticum aestivum (bread wheat). RNAcentral describes it as "partial small subunit ribosomal RNA". Lineage: Eukaryota; Viridiplantae; Streptophyta; Magnoliopsida; Poales; Poaceae. The record is from RNAcentral.